AGAGCGAACGCUGGCGGCAGGCCUAACACAUGCAAGUCGAGCGCCCGUAGCAAUACGGGAGCGGCAGACGGGAUAGUAACACGUGGGAACGCGCCCUUCGGUUCGGAAUAACUCAGGGAAACUUGAGCUAAUACCGAAUACGCCCUUACGGGGAAAGAUUUAUUGCCGAAGGAACGGCCCGCGUCCGAUUAGCUAGUUGGUGAGGUAAUGGCUCACCAAGGCUACGAUCGGUAGCUGGUCUGAGAGGAUGACCAGCAUCACUGGGACUGAGACACGGCCCAGACUCCUACGGGAGGCAGCAGUGGGGAAUAUGGACAAUGGGCGCAAGCCUGAUCCAGCCAUGCCGCGUGGAUGAUGAAGGCCUUAGGGUUGUAAAGUCCUUUUAACGGGGAAGAUAAUGACGGUACCGUAGAAUAAGCCCCGGCUAACUUCGCGCCAGCAGCCGC
This 446-nucleotide ribosomal RNA is filed under the name uncultured bacterium. RNAcentral describes it as "SSU rRNA". It matches the Rfam family "Bacterial small subunit ribosomal RNA", at positions 26 to 518 of the family's 1533-position model. The record is from RNAcentral.